CCUACGGGAGGCAGCAGUGGGGGAUAUUGCACAAUGGGGGAAACCCUGAUGCAGCGACGCCGCGUGGGUGAAGAAGCGCCUCGGCGCGUAAAGCCCUGUCAGCAGGGAAGAAAAUGACGGUAUCUGAAGAAGAAGCCCCGGCUAACUCGGUGCCAGCAGCCGCGGUAAUACGUAGGGGGCAAGCGUUAUCCGGAUUUACUGGGUGUAAAGGGGGCGCAGACGGCGAUGCAAGCCAGGAGUGAAAGCCCGGGGCCCAACCCCGGGACUGCUCUUGGAACUGCGUGGCUAGAGUGCAGGAGGGGCAAGCGGAAUUCCUGGUGUAGCGGUGAAAUGCGUAGAUAUCAGGAGGAACACCAGUGGCGAAGGCGGCCUGCUGGACUGCAACUGACGUUGAGGCGCGAAAGCGUGGGGAGCAAACAGGAUUAGAUACCCCUGUAGUC
Molecule: ribosomal RNA, 440 nt
Filed under: uncultured bacterium
Lineage: Bacteria
Description: partial 16S ribosomal RNA
Rfam family: Bacterial small subunit ribosomal RNA
Source: RNAcentral